GAGAGACAGGAGGGGGCUCAACCAUGGCAGACUCUUGAACUCCAGCCUCCUGUAGUGGAUUCACAUCCAGAAUUGCCAUGCGAGACAGACCAACUGCCAGAUGUUGAUUCUGAUGGGGAUGAUGACAUGCCUGAAUGGGUCAGAGAAAGGGCUACUGAACCAGAGGAGGAAAGGCACUUUGAUCUGGCCCUAUUAGAUAAUGAUGAUGAUGGUGACUUCUUUGAGGGUGUGUUGGAGUCGCCCAAUGAAGUGUUAAUGCCUUGGAGUCAGAGUGAAAAAGCAGCCGUGUCUCCGUAGCCGGAACACAGUGAGGUGCGCAUACCAGUGGUGGCUAAACCUUCUUUCAAAGUGACACCCGGUAAGGCAC
Molecule: long non-coding RNA, 367 nt
Organism: Schistocerca americana (American grasshopper)
Lineage: Eukaryota; Metazoa; Arthropoda; Insecta; Orthoptera; Acrididae
Exons: 3
Source: RefSeq, a predicted model, not a curated record